AUGUAUAGUUAUUCUUGUUCCAGGCCUUUUGGCUUUUGGACAACUCGCUACUUGAGGAUUUUCAGGGUGAUCCACAAAGCAUUGUCAAAAUUGGUGAAGGUACUUACAGUGAAACUUUCAGGGCUGGUAAAAUUGUCUGCAAAAUGGUUCCAAUUGAUGGAGAAUUACUAGUGAACAAGGAAGUACAAAAGAUGUUUAGUUAUUUUACCUUAGUUGCAUCUUUUUUUUUUCCCAGUUAUUUUUUAGUGUGAGAAGUUAUUUAGAGGUGGGGGGGAGGAAGGUUUGUCAAGUUUCUGUGGCACAAUUGUUUUCUCAAUAUAGUUUGUGGUUUUAUGUGUGCCUAAGCAGUUAGGUGAUGCUGAACUAGCUUCCAUUCAGCAGGACACUUAUUAGGUUGCAGGGUACAUGCAUAUGUUAACUUCCAUUCAGGAGUGUUAAAGCAUGGACAGUCGAUCAUGCUUUGAGUGUCUUAGUGCCUAGUUUUGAAGAAAAUCCUAUCUCCCAGGCACCCACCAUUAUCAGCUUUGGCUUGUUAGUUACUUUGUAUAGACUACAGUUCACCUUUUGCUCAUCCAGUUCACAUCCUUUGUGUUUAUACAAUAUGUUUCUUUACAGAAUUUAAAGUUGAUAAGCAAAUAUUGGAAGAUACUUUUUGCAGAGCUA
Molecule: long non-coding RNA, 663 nt
Organism: Vitis vinifera (wine grape)
Lineage: Eukaryota; Viridiplantae; Streptophyta; Magnoliopsida; Vitales; Vitaceae
Exons: 2
Source: RefSeq, a predicted model, not a curated record